Molecule: unclassified non-coding RNA, 2861 nt
Filed under: Hevea brasiliensis (rubber tree)
Lineage: Eukaryota; Viridiplantae; Streptophyta; Magnoliopsida; Malpighiales; Euphorbiaceae
Source: RNAcentral
GUGCCCAGUUGGCCACUUAGAACUUUGUGGAAUAUUUUCCCCUGCCGAAACCCAGAACCUUGUACUGAAAGACUGUAGGUGAAGCAAAAUCUGAUUCAGAGAUAGAAAAUUCAGGGAAGGAAGAAGAAGAAGAAGAAUGAAGAGCAUACCUCUGCUUCUGAUGGGCUGUGGAGGUGUUGGUCGCCAGCUCCUUCAACACAUUGUCUCCUGCAGAUCUCUUCAUGCCAAGCAGGAAAUCCAUUUGCGAGUGGUGGGAGUCUGUGACAGUAAAUCGUUAGUUGUUGCAUCAGAUGUAUUCACCAGGGAAUUAAAUGAUAAAUUUUUAUCUGAAGUUUGCCGGGUGAAGUCGAAUGGUUUAUCUCUUUCUAAGCUUGCUGAAUUUGAUGAAUGCCUAAUAUACUCGAAUUCAGAGUCAAAAAGAAAAGUAAUAGAUAUUGCAGCUCUACUAGGAAAAUCAACAGGUUUGUGUUUCAAUGAGCUCCUCUCUUGUUUUUAUACUUUGAUUGUUUAAAUUUGUUAAAGCUUUAAACCUUAACUUAUUUCAGUGUAAACAGUGAAUCACAUCUUUAGCAAUGAAAUUAUUUCACUUGUUAUUACAGUCUCUUUUUAUUUGUUUCUACCACUUGAACUGAAGCCUGAAAAUCACCAAGCAUUUGGCUACUAAAUUUUCUGAUUUCUGUGCUGACAUUAUUUUGUUUUUACCAUGUGACAGGUUUGGCUUUUGUAGAUUGCUCUGCGAGUUACGAGACUAUUGCAGUGCUAAACCGAGUAGUUGAUUUAGGAUGUUGUAUUGUCAUGGCAAAUAAGAAGCCUCUUACUUCUACACUAGUAAUGAACUCUUGUUGUCAUCCUUGUUAGUUUCUAAUAGAAAAAGAAAUCUGGGGCUUAGGGGCAUUGGGAUGCCCUGUAGUUCUUCCAUUUUCUUUUUUAUAUAUAGGUUGAAACUAUUUUGGGAAAGGAUUAGAAGGGAUUAUGGGGGCUUGUAGUGGUCCUUCUUGGCUAUAAACGAGUAGCUUGAGACCAUGAGUUUCUGAUUUAGCAUCCAGCAUUUGUGAGGAUACAAUUACCCUACUUAAUUAAAUUUUUUAUUUUGGAAAUGAUCUCCUAUUGUAUCUGGAAUUCUGGAUACCGCACUAACAUCCCUUUUGUGCCCUUUAAUUUUUUUUUAUUAUUUUUUUUAUCUUUGCUAUUUUUACUAAAAUGUGUGGCAACUGUAGUUAUGACUUAUGGGAGAAAUGAUAUGAUGAUACUGAAGAGAAGUGAAGUUCAAUUUCUCUAAACUAGGUUGGAUGAUGAAAAAAGUGAUAAACAUAGAAGAGUGAUGAUUUGACAAUGAUAAGACUCUCUGGUCAUAAUUUAUCUCUUUGCUUUUCAUUUAGAAAUCUCAAGAAAUGAAAGCUUUGAAUUCCUGUUUAUUCUGUACUUCCCUUAACUUCACUCCUUUCAUUUGAACACACUUCCCUUCUUGCUAUUACUUUUGUCAGUGGUUCCAAUUUUUUCUCUUUCCAUUCCAUACCUGGAGUUAAAUAUAUUGAGAAUUUUUUUGCACUCUUUCUCGCAGGAAGAUUAUGACAAAUUGUAUUCCUAUCCACGAAGAAUUCGGCAUGAGUCAACUGUUGGUGCUGGCCUUCCUGUUAUAGCAUCCUUAAAUCGUAUACUUUUGUCUGGGGACCCUGUUCAUUGCAUAAUUGGGAGUUUGAGUGGAACUUUGGGAUAUGUAAUGAGUGAGGUUGAAGAUGGAAAGCCUCUGAGUGAAGUUGUUAAGACUGCCAAAAGUUUGGGCUUUACUGAACCAGAUCCCCGGGAUGACCUUAGUGGGAUGGAUGUUGCAAGGAAGGCUUUGAUUCUUGCUCGACUUCUUGGAAGGCGGAUUAACUUGGAUAACAUUAAAAUUGAGAGCUUGUAUCCUGAUGAAAUGAGACCUGAUGUUAUGUCUGUUGAAGAAUUUUUGGCUAAUGGUAUUAAAUUACUUGAUAAUGACGUUGAAGAAAGAGUUAAAAAGGCAUCCUUGAAGGGGAAUGUGCUCCGCUAUGUUUGUGUAAUUGAGGGUUCAAGGUGUGAGGUUGGCAUUCAAGAACUCUCUAAGACUUCUCCUUUGGGGAGAUUGAGAGGAAGUGACAAUGUGUUGGAGGUAUACAGCCGGUGUUAUAAUGAACAACCACUGGUCAUUCAAGGUGCUGGAGCUGGCAAUGAUACUACAGCAGCUGGUGUGCUUGCUGAUAUCCUGGAUAUUCAGGAUUUAUUCCCUUGAAAAAAGUGGGUAAUUCACUUCUGAGACUCAGAUCAUAGAGACGAUGUCACAGGAUGCGCCACCAAGACAUGCAACAAAGCAAUGUCAGUUUUUGAAAAAUGAAGUGGACAUUUUUCAAUUGGGAGCUAGUAAUGCAGUUGCAACAAAGAUUUUGGUAUGUCAGUGCAUGCAUUUGCUAAUACCAUUUAAAGGUGAAAUUGUGCAUGCUGGAAGAAAUAUUUUUUAGAAGUAAACUUUUUGUGCAACUGAACUUCAAAUAGUGGGCAUUAGGUUCUGAUGUUUGUUUGUUUGAAGUCUGGAUAUGUAACCUUUACAGCAGUCAAAGAAAUUGUGAAAGAAGUAUGGAACUUUGAGGUCACUGGCAAUCUUGGGCUUACUGUUUUGUGAUGAUUUGAGUUUUUCCUUUUUUUUUAUUAUUUUUUUUUCAUAGAUGGGUCAUUCUGAUCACCCUAUUAUUUACAACUGGUGACUUCUUGGCUCCCUUUGGUGAAAUGAUAAAUCAUAUGUAUAGCAUAUGUAGAAAGAGAAGAUUCUCCUUAAUUUCAAUUAAUUUGUACAUGGGUAUAUAUACACAAUUGAUUCCUAUGAUUGUGUUCUACUAAUUAGGAAG